This 1500-nucleotide ribosomal RNA is filed under the name metagenome. Its description in RNAcentral is "bacterial SSU rRNA". It matches the Rfam family "Bacterial small subunit ribosomal RNA". The record is from RNAcentral.
AGAGUUUGAUCAUGGCUCAGAUUGAACGCUGGCGGCAGGCCUAACACAUGCAAGUCGAACGGUAACAGGAAGAAGCUUGCUUCUUUGCUGACGAGUGGCGGACGGGUGAGUAAUGUCUGGGAAACUGCCUGAUGGAGGGGGAUAACUACUGGAAACGGUAGCUAAUACCGCAUAACGUCGCAAGACCAAAGAGGGGGACCUUCGGGCCUCUUGCCAUCGGAUGUGCCCAGAUGGGAUUAGCUAGUAGGUGGGGUAACGGCUCACCUAGGCGACGAUCCCUAGCUGGUCUGAGAGGAUGACCAGCCACACUGGAACUGAGACACGGUCCAGACUCCUACGGGAGGCAGCAGUGGGGAAUAUUGCACAAUGGGCGCAAGCCUGAUGCAGCCAUGCCGCGUGUAUGAAGAAGGCCUUCGGGUUGUAAAGUACUUUCAGCGGGGAGGAAGGGAGUAAAGUUAAUACCUUUGCUCAUUGACGUUACCCGCAGAAGAAGCACCGGCUAACUCCGUGCCAGCAGCCGCGGUAAUACGGAGGGUGCAAGCGUUAAUCGGAAUUACUGGGCGUAAAGCGCACGCAGGCGGUUUGUUAAGUCAGAUGUGAAAUCCCCGGGCUCAACCUGGGAACUGCAUCUGAUACUGGCAAGCUUGAGUCUCGUAGAGGGGGGUAGAAUUCCAGGUGUAGCGGUGAAAUGCGUAGAGAUCUGGAGGAAUACCGGUGGCGAAGGCGGCCCCCUGGACGAAGACUGACGCUCAGGUGCGAAAGCGUGGGGAGCAAACAGGAUUAGAUACCCUGGUAGUCCACGCCGUAAACGAUGUCGACUUGGAGGUUGUGCCCUUGAGGCGUGGCUUCCGGAGCUAACGCGUUAAGUCGACCGCCUGGGGAGUACGGCCGCAAGGUUAAAACUCAAACGAAUUGACGGGGGCCCGCACAAGCGGUGGAGCAUGUGGUUUAAUUCGAUGCAACGCGAAGAACCUUACCUGGUCUUGGCAUCCACGGAAGUUUUCAGAGAUGAGAAUGUGCCUUCGGGAACCGUGAGACAGGUGCUGCAUGGCUGUCGUCAGCUCGUGUUGUGAAAUGUUGGGUUAAGUCCCGCAACGAGCGCAACCCUUAUCCUUUGUUGCCAGCGGUCCGGCCGGGAACUCAAAGGAGACUGCCAGUGAUAAACUGGAGGAAGGUGGGGAUGACGUCAAGUCAUCAUGCCCCUUACGACCAGGGCUACACACGUGCUACAAUGGCGCAUACAAAGAGAAGCGACCUCGCGAGAGCAAGCGGACCUCAUAAAGUGCGUCGUAGUCCGGAUUGGAGUCUGCAACUCGACUCCAUGAAGUCGGAAUCGCUAGUAAUCGUGGAUCAGAAUGCCACGGUGAAUACGUUCCCGGGCCUUGUACACACCGCCCGUCACACCAUGGGAGUGGGUUGCAAAAGAAGUAGGUAGCUUAACCUUCGGGAGGGCGCUUACCACUUUGUGAUUCAUGACUGGGGCGAAGACGUAACAAGGUA